CCUAUCAGCUUGUUGGUGAGGUAAUGGCUCACCAAGGCGUCGACGGGUAGCCGGCCUGAGAGGGUGACCGGCCACACUGGGACUGAGACACGGCCCAGACUCCUACGGGAGGCAGCAGUGGGGAAUAUUGCACAAUGGGCGGAAGCCUGAUGCAGCAACGCCGCGUGAGGGAUGACGGCCUUCGGGUUGUAAACCUCUUUUAGCAGGGAAGAAGCGAAAGUGACGGUACCUGCAGAAAAAGCGCCGGCUAACUACGUGCCAGCAGCCGCGGUAAUACGUAGGGCGCAAGCGUUAUCCGGAAUUAUUGGGCGUAAAGAGCUCGUAGGCGGUUUGUCGCGUCUGCUGUGAAAUCCCGAGGCUCAACCUCGGGUCUGCAGUGGGUACGGGCAGACUA
Molecule: ribosomal RNA, 394 nt
Filed under: Microbacterium sp. SR2-35-l
Lineage: Bacteria; Bacillati; Actinomycetota; Actinomycetes; Micrococcales; Microbacteriaceae
Description: bacterial SSU rRNA
Rfam family: Bacterial small subunit ribosomal RNA
Source: RNAcentral